RNAcentral lists this long non-coding RNA (1416 nucleotides) under Nicotiana benthamiana. RNAcentral's name for it is "long non-coding RNA (NBEN_LNC012772)". The record is from RNAcentral. Lineage: Eukaryota; Viridiplantae; Streptophyta; Magnoliopsida; Solanales; Solanaceae.
ACAUUGUCACCUUUAUUUUUCCUGCUAUAUUUUACCCAAGAUAUGUUUACCUAUCAUAAUCGUACUGAAACAAUUAAUAAAAGUGAUACUUACUAGUGAGUAUUUACAUGCAUAUUUAUUGAUUUUGGAUGUCAUAUUGACAGGAGACAUAUCAUUCAAAACCAUAAAUCAUUUGAAUUAUUUGGACAUUUGGCUAGUUUUAUCCAUUGAUAGCCUUCUAUAUGGGCUGUCUAUGCUCAACGAGUAGACAAAAAUCAUCCGCCUUGAGUUUGGCUUUUACAAUGGCUAGCUAUUGAAGUUAAAGCAAGACUUUUCUGCCAAUCAACCUUUAUAACAGUGUUAUGUGUGUCCUCUAUCAUAUUCUAUAAAGGAAUUUGCAAGAGUGUCGAAUCAAUUCAUAGUACCCUAUGUUUCUUGUUAACUGCAAUUCUUGCUCAUUCUGGGCCUAAUUUUAUACAGGACUGAUAAUGCAAUCAAGAAUCACUGGAAUAGCUCUUUGAGGAAGAAAUUAGACUUUUAUUUAGCUACUGGAAACCUUCCACCUGCUACUAGGGAUGGCCUGCAAAAUGGUUGUAAGGACACUACUGAAACAGCUAAAGCUGAAGAGUCACUUGUAGCUUCAUCAGGAACUGCAGAUAUGUGUAAAAUAGUAAAUGGAUGGCAGAUCACAGAAAUCAGUGCUUCAAAUGGUGGUCCUCAAACUGUGUCGACUGAUUCUGAAGUCGUCAGGUUAGAAGCUCAAUCACCAGAAAUAGAUGCUAUUCGACACAUCAAACCAAUUACAGAAUCAGAAACCUUGUAUGAAGAACGGAGAAUAAACAGUGUUGUUGAUCGACUAAAAGUUAUUGAAGCACCAUUUCGUUGUGAAAUCCCUACAUAUGGUGCGUUAUACUAUGAACCACCAACAUCAGAAAGUUGCAUUUCGCAGGAUUCAGAUCUUGACGGAGUAUAAAUAGUGUUAUAGAUCGACUAAAAGUUGUUGAAGCACCAUUUCAUUGUGAAAUCCCUACAUGUGGUACAUUAUACUAUGAACCACCAACAUCAGAAAGUUGUAUUUCCCUGGAUUCAGAUCUUCUAAAUAUCCGCUGGGCACAAUGUGAAUCUGAUGCAAGCCCAAGCCCGUCACCAAAUGGUUUCUUCACUCCACCUAGUACAAAGGGUAGUAGCCUAUAUGCACAAACCCCUGAAUCCGUACUGAAAAUUGCUGCUAGAAGCUUCCCAAAUACGCCUUCCAUAUUAAGGAAGCAAAAGGCUCAAGCUAAACUUUUCACACCAACUAAUAAAAUGGGGAAGAAUACGCCUUCCAUAUUAAGGAAGAGAAAGAGUCAAGCUAAACUCUCCACACCAACUAAUAAAAUGGGGAAGUCAGACGGAGAUUUCUGCAAGGACAAACCUACUGAUGCGUGUAAAGAGAUC